Oryza sativa Japonica Group (Japanese rice) is the source of this 3754-nucleotide non-coding RNA. NCBI's taxonomy places the organism in Eukaryota, Viridiplantae, Streptophyta, Magnoliopsida, Poales, Poaceae. The record is from RefSeq and is a predicted model, not a curated record.
AAUUAUCACACUAACAAAAUAUAUAGUUGCUACGGAAUCACUCAGAAUUUACAUCACACUAGCAGGUUGUGGUGGUAGAACUUAGAAUUAUUAUUAUUCCCACAGCAAUAUGCCAAUUUUAUUUCCCGUUCACUCAUUUUCUAUAGUGGGCCUGGGCUCCAUUGCCGGCCCAUUGACUGCGCGUCGAUCCCCAUUCCCCACAUGGCGCCGCCGCCGUCGGGGAGCCUCGCCGCGGCGGCGAGGUGAGCUGCUGCGCCCGCACCUCCUGCCUCACGCCCCGGCGACGCGGCGUACUUCGCCGCCGGCGGCAAGCACCUCGCGCGUUCGAUCUGGCCGUGCUCGCCGCGCUACGGCGUGUUCUUCUUGGUCGCCGACUUGCCGCCGGUGGAAGCAAUUGAAUUGUAUGACGGCGCCUCCUCGAUCGACCAUGGGGGUGAGGUGGUUAGGCGAUCAUCAUCAGCCUAAUUAAGUUCGUUGCAACUUUUGAUUCAUACAUGUAUGUUUUGGUUAAAAUUUAGUUAGUCACUAGUUUAAUUCUGUUUGUGAAUUUCAGUUACAAAGGUAUAAGCAUCAUUAGCAUAUGACAAUAUGAUAUUAGGAGGCCAUGAAUCUCAGUUCCAUGCACUUUUCAUUAAUUAUAUAUGAUUUGUUUCAAUUGUCAAUCAUUAGACAGUUGUUUCAGAUAGGAUAUAAUCAAGAUUAUAUAUAUGUUUUGUUUCAAUUAUCAAUGACUAAUGCAAUGUUACAGAAGCUUAUAAUAAUCAUAAGCACACGUAGUAAAUUACGGUCAGAACUGUAGGUAAGUUUGGCGUGUUAUCAUCUUUUGUGUACACUCCCUGCAUGAUCGUAGAACUUCAUGGAUACUAACUAGCUCAUCUUGAAGAAUAGGAAACAGAUAAAAUGCUCUCUGCAUCCUUUCUUUUGGAAUCCACCAUCAUAGACGUUGGUUUCGACCUGUGGAUCUGCACUCAUCGACAGGCCUAUGUGAUCGCGUCCUAUGUCUUUUUUUUUUCUGCCACUGAAACAGGGAAAGUUUUAUAGCGUCUCUAUUCAUAUACAUACUUCAUUUAUUGGAGUGGAACUGACAACUGAAGGGUAACAACAACAAGCACAAUACGGGGCUGUUCAGAUUGAUGUCAAAAUGAACCUUACCAAAAUUUGACAACGCCAAAAUUUUAGCAAAUUGAUAAUAUUACCAAAAUUUUGGUAGAAUUGGCUUAAUAAUGUUGCCAAAAUUCUAUUCACAUUGCCAAUAUUUGGUAAGAAACUAAAUGUAGUCACAUAAUUAUUAAUUUUAUCAAAUAAUAAUAUAGUUGAAAAUAUCAUCAAUCUGAACAGACCCUACAUCUCCAUUUUUUAUCUGUUUUUUCCCCACUGCUAUUUGUUGAUUUGCAACUCUGCAAUGGACUUGUACUCACUUGAGCAUCAAUUAGUUUUUAUUCCUCUUUUAAUUUUAUUACCCGUGGGCCUCGGCCCAUUAACGGCCCAAUUUGGACUCUGCUGCGUAUACCCGAUCUGGUGGGCACACAACUCAUCGAUUCCCCAAAAUGGCGCUGCCGGUGCCGGACGACGCCCUCGCCGCCAUCCUCCGCCGCCUGCCGCCGCGCAGCCUCGCCGCGGCGCGCUGCGUCUGCAAGCAAUGGCGCGACCUCGUCGACGACCGCGCGCUGCUGUUGCCGCACUCGGCGCACGGCGUUGUCAUCUCCUACGUCGACCACCACCGCCCGCACCUCUUCUCCCGCCCCUCCUCCUCAUCCUCCUCGUCGGCGGCGGCGGCGAGCGACGGACCAAGCCUCUGCCUGCCCCGCGCCGCCGUCAGAAACUGGCAGUGGCACGUGAUAGACCACUGCGGCGGCCUCCUCCUCCUCUCGGCAACUGGGGCGGCGAGCUCCGCGUCUGCAACCCGGCGACGCGGCGGCGCGCCACGCUGCCGCCGCCGCCGCAGCGCGCGUGCAGGGACGACGUCACCGCCAUCCCCGUCGGCGAGUACCUCGUGUUCGAGCCGGCCGUGUCGUCGCCGUCGCCGCACUACGAGGUGUUCUUGAUCCCCACCGUGCCGGGGCACCCCGGGCCACCACCAACACCACCGGCGCACAUCAGGUUGAAGCCAAUGGCGGCGGCGGCGGCGCCGUUCUGCCUGGACGAGCGGCUAGCGUCGCUCCGCGGAGCCUCCUACCCCACCGUGGAGGAGAUGAUGGAGGACAUGGCUGAGGCAACGGUGGAUUCGCCGCCGCCAUCGCCGUAUGAGUGGGACCAACAAUUAUUUUGCUUGAUGUGUUGGCAAGUUGAGUACCAAUAUUUGUCGGCGGAAUGGCCGCCGCCGUCGUACAAGAUCGACGCGUUCUCGUCGAGGACCGGGCGGUGGGAGGAGAGGGUGUUCGUCAGGGAAGGCGAGACGGCGACGACAUUGGAGGACAUGAAGCCUUGGAACUAUGUCUAUGCAGGUCCAUGGCAAGGGUGCAGUGUGUUAUGGCAGGGAGCACUGUAUGUGCAUUCUGGAGGGGCUUGUGUUACAAGGUUUUCACUGUCAAACGAUAAGUAUCAAAUGAUCAGAGCACCAAUAAACAUUCUGGACAACAAAUUUGACAAACCAUAUCUUGGCAAAUCAAAGAUGGGUGUGUCCUUUGGAUUUAUUCACGAUUGGCAGCUAUCAAUUUGGAUCCUGAAAGAAUCGACCUAUCAACAUGACCUUCAGGCAAUUGCCAACCAGUUAGAUUCAAUCGAUUCUCAUAUUGACCAGAUCAAUGGACCUUGGAUCGUAGAAGAGGAUGACACUGAUAUUCCUUUAAACACAGAGACUCUCUCACAAAGAUUUUGAUUGGGAUUCUGACAAUGAUGAUUUUCUUGCUAUUGAAGUUGGUGGGGAAAAAAAUGAGGGACAUAAUUGUGCACCCUUUGGCAUCCUUGGAUUUCAUCCUUACAAGGAAGUUAUUUACUUGGAAGAAGAAUUCAAAACGGUGGCGUAUCAUUUGAAUAGCUCGAAGAUUCAUUAUCUGGGCUACUCGCGCCCAAAGUGUUACGGCCAAUACUCAACAAAUGGUAUAGAAGGCUCAUUCGUGUACACUCCAUACAUGAUUGGAGACCUUUAAUGAAGACUACAUUUGGAUAGAGUUUAUCUUAAAUAACAGAACCAUAUAUUUACAGGGCUUACAGUUGAACAGAUCAAGAAACAAUAAUGGCGGGAUCAUGUCCGAAAACCUGGGUGUUCUUUGGUCUAUGUUUAUUAUUCAUGGAAUUCCAUAUUCUUGAACCUUAGUAUAAUCUGACCGUUGUUUUGGCAACUGAGUUGCAUGUACCACCCUGUAUGAUUUUAUUCAGUUGAACCUGUUUUUUCAGUUUUCAACAAGAGCAUUUUUUUCCCGUUGAGUUCAUGCCUCUUACAGUUAUAGUCCAAACUAUUCUAUUAGAGUAAAGUGCUUUCACCUUGUUCAGUUGUUUGGCUCAUGACAACCCUCUCAACUGAAAUCCAGACAGGUUAACUACAAGUCCCCCAUGACUAUACUGCAGAUAUAUAGAAACUCAAGGUUGAACAGUGUGCAUGCAAAAGCUACUCCUGGAAACUGAAUUUACUUUAGUUUUGAUCUGCCAGAUCUGUUUUUUUAUCUAUGUGUAAAAUAUAUUGAGAACAGACACUAUCUGAUCUGAAUAAUGUUGGCAUGGCCUUCUGAACCUGCCAUCAUUUUCAGAGCUGAAGCUUGUGGAAAUGGGGCAUUUUCUGACCAAUGGGAGUUGAGAAGAACUGGAGAUCAAAGGA